This 517-nucleotide small RNA is filed under the name Sarocladium terricola. RNAcentral describes it as "eukaryotic LSU rRNA". It matches the Rfam family "Eukaryotic large subunit ribosomal RNA", at positions 85 to 612 of the family's 3401-position model. The record is from RNAcentral. Lineage: Eukaryota; Fungi; Ascomycota; Sordariomycetes; Hypocreales; Sarocladiaceae.
AACGGCGAGUGAAGCGGCAACAGCUCAAAUUUGAAAUCUGGCCGCAAGGUCCGAGUUGUAAUUUGUAGAGGAUGCUUUUGGCGAGGUGACUUCCGAGUUCCCUGGAACGGGACGCCAUAGAGGGUGAGAGCCCCGUACGGUCGUGCCACCGAGCCUCUGUAAAGCUCCUUCGACGAGUCGAGUAGUUUGGGAAUGCUGCUCUAAAUGGGAGGUGUACGUCUUCUAAAGCUAAAUACCGGCCAGAGACCGAUAGCGCACAAGUAGAGUGAUCGAAAGAUGAAAAGCACUUUGAAAAGAGGGUUAAAAAGUACGUGAAAUUGUUGAAAGGGAAGCAUUCAUGACCAGACUUGGGCUUGGUUGAACAUCCGGCGUUCUCGCCGGUGCACUCUGCCAGCUCAGGCCAGCAUCAGUUUGCCCCGGGGGACAAAGGCGGCGGGAAUGUGGCUCCCUACGGGGAGUGUUAUAGCCCGUCGUGUAAUGCCCUGGGGUGGACUGAGGUUCGCGCUUCGGCACGGAU